This 491-nucleotide ribosomal RNA is filed under the name uncultured bacterium. RNAcentral's name for it is "partial 16S ribosomal RNA". It matches the Rfam family "Bacterial small subunit ribosomal RNA", at positions 28 to 507 of the family's 1533-position model. The record is from RNAcentral.
GAUGAACGCUAGCUACAGGCUUAACACAUGCAAGUCGAGGGGAAACGCCAUUGAAGCUUGCUUCGAUGGUCGUCGACCGGCGCACGGGUGAGUAACGCGUAUCCAACCUGCCUCUGACCAAGGGAUAACCCGUCGAAAGUCGGCCUAAUACCUUAUGCAGUCGUCGGAAGUCAUCUGAUGACGACGAAAGAUUUCAUCGGUGAGAGAUGGGGAUGCGUCUGAUUAGCUUGUUGGCGGGGUAACGGCCCACCAAGGCAACGAUCAGUAGGGGUUCUGAGAGGAAGGUCCCCCACAUUGGAACUGAGACACGGUCCAAACUCCUACGGGAGGCAGCAGUGAGGAAUAGUGAUCAAUGGGCGAGAGCCUGAACCAGCCAAGUAGCGUGCAGGAUGACGGCCCUAUGGGUUGUAAACUGCUUUUAUGCGGGGAUAAAGUGAGGGACGUGUCCUUCAUUGCAGGUACCGCAUGAAUAAGGACCGGCUAAUUCCGUG